UACAGAGGGUGCAAGCGUUGUUCGGAAUUAUUGGGCGUAAAGCGUGCGUAGUCGGCUUUUCAAGUCGGGUGUGAAAGCCCCGGGCUCAACCUGGGAAUUGCAUUCGAUACUGGAUGGCUAGAGUUCGGCAGAGGGAAGCGGAAUUUCGGGUGUAGCGGUGAAAUGCGUAGAUAUCCGAAGGAACAUCAGUGGCGAAAGCGGCUUCCUGGACCAGAACUGACGAUCAGGCACGAAAGCGUGGGGAGCAAACAGG
RNAcentral lists this ribosomal RNA (253 nucleotides) under uncultured bacterium. RNAcentral's name for it is "partial 16S ribosomal RNA". It matches the Rfam family "Bacterial small subunit ribosomal RNA", at positions 524 to 776 of the family's 1533-position model. The record is from RNAcentral.